CGAGAAGACCCUAUGGAGCUUUAGGCAUAUGUCAAAUAUGUAAAAACCAAAUUUUCCAAAUAGGCCUAAAAAACGGGAAAAACAAGUAUUAAUGACUAAAUGCCUUCGGUUGGGGCGACCUAGG
Molecule: ribosomal RNA, 124 nt
Filed under: Conger sp. KP-2015
Lineage: Eukaryota; Metazoa; Chordata; Actinopteri; Anguilliformes; Congridae
Description: partial 16S ribosomal RNA
Source: RNAcentral